This is a long non-coding RNA of Pygocentrus nattereri (red-bellied piranha), 316 nucleotides long. Lineage: Eukaryota; Metazoa; Chordata; Actinopteri; Characiformes; Serrasalmidae. The record is from Ensembl.
AAAAGGUACAUUUGCUUAUGCAGUGCAAGACCCUAUGUACUUGCAAACAACACAGGAAGAGACGUGGAGGCACAAAAAAGUGCAAAUCGAAGGUUGUGUGCUUUUGAGCAGCUGUAGGAGGCUUGAGCAGUGAUUCAGAGGUGCAUGCGCUGGUUUUGUUCACUUGUUUUUAGUAAGUAUUUCAUUUUAUUCUACUAACGUUUCCUCAUGAAGUAAAAGAUGUCACAGUGCACAAUGUUCAGUGUACAUUUGCACAUUGUGCAUUAUAUGAUGUCGUUUGCGUUGUCUGUUUCUGUUCUGCAUUGAAAUGAUUCCC